Molecule: non-coding RNA, 77 nt
Organism: Merluccius polli (Benguela hake)
Lineage: Eukaryota; Metazoa; Chordata; Actinopteri; Gadiformes; Merlucciidae
Source: the annotation of a GenBank genome assembly
GGCAGUGGCUCAGGAGGUAGAGCGGGUUGUCUGGCAACCGGAAGGUUGCUGGUUCGAUCCCUGGCUCCUCCUAGCCA